UACUCUUAAGUGGGGAAAGGCAAAA
Molecule: non-coding RNA, 25 nt
Filed under: Mus musculus (house mouse)
Lineage: Eukaryota; Metazoa; Chordata; Mammalia; Rodentia; Muridae
Source: RNAcentral